UACGUAGGUGGCAAGCGUUGUCCGGAAUUAUUGGGCGUAAAGCGCGCGCAGGCGGUCCUUUAAGUCUGAUGUGAAAGCCUACGGCUCAACCGUGGAGGGUCAUUGGAAACUGGGGGACUUGAGUGCAGAAGAGGAAAGCGGAAUUCCACGUGUAGCGGUGAAAUGCGUAGAGAUGUGGAGGAACACCAGUGGCGAAGGCGGCUUUCUGGGUCGACCCUGACGCUGAGAGGCGAAAGCGUGGGGAGCGAACGGG
This 253-nucleotide ribosomal RNA is filed under the name uncultured bacterium. Its description in RNAcentral is "partial 16S ribosomal RNA". It matches the Rfam family "Bacterial small subunit ribosomal RNA", at positions 524 to 776 of the family's 1533-position model. The record is from RNAcentral.